AUACGGAGGGAGCGAGCGUUAAUCGGAAUUACUGGGCGUAAAGCGCGCGUAGGCGGCUUUGUAAGUCGGAUGUGAAAGCCCAGGGCUCAACCCUGGAAUUGCAUUCGAUACUGCAUAGCUAGAGUAUGGUAGAGGGAAGUGGAAUUUCCGGUGUAGCGGUGAAAUGCGUAGAUAUCGGAAGGAACACCGGUGGCGAAGGCGACUUCCUGGGCCAAUACUGACGCUGAGGUGCGAAAGCGUGGGGAGCAAACAGGAUUAGAAACCCCAGUAGUCC
This 274-nucleotide ribosomal RNA is filed under the name uncultured bacterium. Its description in RNAcentral is "partial 16S ribosomal RNA". It matches the Rfam family "Bacterial small subunit ribosomal RNA", at positions 523 to 796 of the family's 1533-position model. The record is from RNAcentral.